UCGUCAGCUCGUGCCGUGAGGUGUUGGGUUAAGUCCCGCAACGAGCGCAACCCUCGUCGUUAGUUGUAUUUUUCUAGCGAGACUGCCGGGAGAAACUCGGAGGAAGGUGGGGAUGAUGUCAAGUCAGCAUGGCCCUUACGUCCCGGGCUACACACACGCUACAAUGGCUGGUACAGAGGGCGGCGAGCCGGCGACGGUUAGCGAAUCCCAAAAAGCCAGUCCCAGUUCGGAUUGCAGGCUGCAAUUCGCCUGCAUGAAGUCGGAGUUGCUAGUAACCGCAGGUCAGCAUACUGCGGUGAAUACGUUCUCGGGCCUUGUACACACCGCCCGUCAUGCCAUGGGAGUCUGUAAUACCUGAAGACGGUGAGCUAACCCUUAGGGGGGGCAGCUGUCUAAGGUGGGAUAGGCGACUGGGGCAAAGUCGUAACAAGGUAGCCGUACCGGAAGGUGCGGCUGGAUCACCUCCUUU
This 469-nucleotide ribosomal RNA is filed under the name Gammaproteobacteria bacterium. RNAcentral's name for it is "bacterial SSU rRNA". It matches the Rfam family "Bacterial small subunit ribosomal RNA", at positions 1052 to 1533 of the family's 1533-position model. Lineage: Bacteria; Pseudomonadati; Pseudomonadota; Gammaproteobacteria. The record is from RNAcentral.